RNAcentral lists this ribosomal RNA (713 nucleotides) under uncultured Spiroplasma sp. RNAcentral's name for it is "bacterial SSU rRNA". It matches the Rfam family "Bacterial small subunit ribosomal RNA", at positions 9 to 720 of the family's 1533-position model. Lineage: Bacteria; Bacillati; Mycoplasmatota; Mollicutes; Entomoplasmatales; Spiroplasmataceae. The record is from RNAcentral.
GAGUUUGAUCAUGGCUCAGGAUUAACGCUGGCGGCAUGCCUAAUACAUGCAAGUCGAACGGAGUAGCAAUACUUAGUGGCAAACGGGUGAGUAACACGUAUCUAAUCUACCAUUUAGUGGGGAAUAACUGUUGGAAACGACAGCUAAUACCGCAUAAUAUUGCUGGAUAAUUUCCAGUAAUGAAAGGAGCUUUCAAGCUCCGCUGAUUGAUGAGGAUGCGGCGCAUUAGCUAGUUGGUAGGGUAAUGGCCUACCAAGGCAAUGAUGCGUAGCCGAUCUGAGAGGAUGAACGGCCACAUUGGGACUGAGACACGGCCCAAACUUCUACGGAAGGCAGCAGUAGGGAAUUUUUCACAAUGGGCGAAAGCCUGAUGGAGCAAUGCCGCGUGACUGAUGAAGGUCUUCGGAUUGUAAAGGUCUGUUGUAAGGGAAGAAAUGGUAAAACAGGAAAUGGUUUUAUCUAUGACGGUACCUUACCAGAAAGCCACGGCUAACUAUGUGCCAGCAGCCGCGGUAAUACAUAGGUGGCAAGCGUUAUCCGGAUUUAUUGGGCGUAAAGGGUGCGUAGACGGUUUUGCAAGUCUGAGGUUAAAUUUAGGAGCUCAACUCCUAAUCGCCUUGGAAACUACAAGACUAGAGUAUAGGAGAGGUUAGUGGAAUUCCAUGUGUAGCGGUGGAAUGUGUAGAUAUAUGGAGGGAACACCAGUGGCGAAA